RNAcentral lists this non-coding RNA (30 nucleotides) under Rattus norvegicus (Norway rat). Lineage: Eukaryota; Metazoa; Chordata; Mammalia; Rodentia; Muridae. The record is from RNAcentral.
UGCAGAACUCUUAGCAUCUUCUCUAGCACC